CUUUGUACACACCGCCCGUCGCUACUACCGAUUG
Molecule: ribosomal RNA, 34 nt
Filed under: Candida albicans
Lineage: Eukaryota; Fungi; Ascomycota; Pichiomycetes; Serinales; Debaryomycetaceae
Description: partial 18S ribosomal RNA
Source: RNAcentral